This is a long non-coding RNA of Camelina sativa (false flax), 663 nucleotides long. RefSeq lists it as uncharacterized. NCBI's taxonomy places the organism in Eukaryota, Viridiplantae, Streptophyta, Magnoliopsida, Brassicales, Brassicaceae. The record is from RefSeq and is a predicted model, not a curated record.
GCAGAUUUUGUCAUCACUUUCAUUGAUCUUAAGCAGGAAGAUCAUAAGGAAAUAUCGAUUCUAAGCCUCAAUCAUCCCCUAUAGUUGAAGUUGGAGGUUACAUUUAUGGUAGUUAUUGUGUGUUUCCAUCGUGAAAAAAAACGGAGAAGUUUAGUUGAUCGUCGCGUUCCACCAUUUAACACCGGCUUCAUUUAGUUGGUUUUAGUGAAGAAGAGGAAUUCAGAAACAGUGUCAAGUAGUGGUUUUGGUGAUCCAUUUCCCGUCGGAUCUGAAGGAACCAGAUCACGAUUUUGGUGUCGUUGGAUAGAUACUGCUGCUAGGAAUAAAUAGAAUCUUUCGGUUCUUCGUUACAAGUUUGCAGUUUCGACCUGAGGUUUUGGUGGAAGAAUUCCGGCGUUACCUAAGCGAUUCAAGUCAGUUCGACGGUUGUUACAGAUAUAAGGGGUGUUAGGGAAGCCACCUGAGCCAUCAUUAUCACCGAAAAAUAUUAUUGCUAGCUGCUCCAGCCUUCUUCCUUCCAGUCCUAUUUCUAGCCAGAAUUCAGGUCAGGUUUGGUUAGAGAGUUUUACGCAAGUCGUCCGAGUUCUUUUGGUGUAUUUGAGGGUUGGGGUUUCACAAUUCAUAUCUUAAACAUUUUAUAAAAAGAUAAAUGUUUUAAUAAUU